RNAcentral lists this ribosomal RNA (301 nucleotides) under uncultured bacterium. RNAcentral's name for it is "partial 16S ribosomal RNA". It matches the Rfam family "Bacterial small subunit ribosomal RNA", at positions 509 to 807 of the family's 1533-position model. The record is from RNAcentral.
CAGUAGCCACGGUAAUACGAAGGGUGCAAGCGUUACUCGGAAUUACUGGGCGUAAAGCGUGCGUAGGUGGUUGUUUAAGUCUGUUGUGAAAGCCCUGGGCUCAACCUGGGAAUUGCAGUGGAUACUGGGCAACUAGAGUGUGGUAGAGGGUAGUGGAAUUCCCGGUGUAGCAGUGAAAUGCGUAGAGAUCGGGAGGAACAUCCAUGGCGAAGGCAGCUACCUGGACCAACACUGACACUGAGGCACGAAAGCGUGGGGAGCAAACAGGAUUAGAUACCCCCGUAGUCCCUGUCUCUUAUAC